Molecule: ribosomal RNA, 369 nt
Filed under: uncultured organism
Description: bacterial SSU rRNA
Rfam family: Bacterial small subunit ribosomal RNA
Source: RNAcentral
CGUAGGGGGCAAGCGUUAUCCGGAAUUAUUGGGCGUAAAGAGUGCGUAGGUGGUUUUGUAAGCGCGGGGUGAAAGGCUAUGGCUCAACCAUAGUAAGCCUUGCGAACUGCAAGACUUGAGUGCAGGAGAGGAAAGUGGAAUUCCUAGUGUAGCGGUGAAAUGCGUAGAUAUUAGGAGGAACACCAGUGGCGAAGGCGACUUUCUGGACUGUAACUGACACUGAGGCACGAAAGCGUGGGGAGCAAACAGGAUUAGAUACCCUGGUAGUCCACGCCGUAAACGAUGAGCACUAGGUGUCGGGGUCGCAAGGCUUCGGUGCCGCAGUUAACGCAUUAAGUGCUCCGCCUGGGGAGUACGCACGCAAGUGUG